GGCGACGAUCUGUAGCUGGUCUGAGAGGACGACCAGCCACACUGGGACUGAGACACGGCCCAGACUCUACGGGAGGCAGCAGUGGGGAAUUUUGGACAAUGGGCGAAAGCCUGAUCCAGCAAUGCCGCGUGUGUGAAGAAGGCCUUCGGGUUGUAAAGCACUUUUGUCCGGAAAGAAAACCUCUGAGUUAAUACCCCGGGGGGAUGACGGUACCGGAAGAAUAAGCACCGGCUAACUACGUGCCAGCAGCCGCGGUAAUACGUAGGGUGCAAGCGUUAAUCGGAAUUACUGGGCGUAAAGCGUGCGCAGGCGGUUCGCUAAGACAGAUGUGAAAUCCCCGGGCUUAACCUGGGAACUGCAUUUGUGACUGGCGGGCUAGAGUAUGGCAGAGGGGGGUAGAAUUCCACGUGUAGCAGUGAAAUGCGUAGAGAUGUGGAGGAAUACCGAUGGCGAAGGCAGCCCCCUGGGCCAAUACUGACGCUCAUGCACGAAAGCGUGGGGAGCAAACAGGAUUAGAUACCCUGGUAGUCCACGCCCUAAACGAUGUCAACUAGUUGUCGGGUCUUCAUUGACUUGGUAACGUAGCUAACGCGUGAAGUUGACCGCCUGGGGAGUACGGUCGCAAGAUUAAAACUCAAAGGAAUUGACGGGGACCCGCACAAGCGGUGGAUGAUGUGGAUUAAUUCGAUGCAACGCGAAAAACCUUACCUACCCUUGACAUGUAUGGAAUCCUGCCGAGAGGUGGGAGUGCCCGAAAGGGAGCCA
Molecule: ribosomal RNA, 765 nt
Filed under: Paraburkholderia sp.
Lineage: Bacteria; Pseudomonadati; Pseudomonadota; Betaproteobacteria; Burkholderiales; Burkholderiaceae
Description: bacterial SSU rRNA
Rfam family: Bacterial small subunit ribosomal RNA
Source: RNAcentral